This 1232-nucleotide ribosomal RNA is filed under the name uncultured fungus. Its description in RNAcentral is "eukaryotic LSU rRNA". The stretch from base 620 to 1232 matches the Rfam family "Eukaryotic large subunit ribosomal RNA", at positions 1 to 649 of the family's 3401-position model. The record is from RNAcentral. Lineage: Eukaryota; Fungi.
AAGUCGUAACAAGGUAACCGUAGGUGAACCUGCGGUUGGAUCAUUAACAAAUGGUAAGUGGCUGCCUCAAAAGCAGUCUCACUUAUUACCACACAUGUGAACUGUACCUGUACUUGGCAAGUGACGACAAAUCAGCUAGAUUUGUUGGAGUUCAAUUGAUUACCGAUUAGCCUGUAGGUAGGUAGAUCAUGACUACUCAGUUAGAGUUGUUGUGACCCCACCUAUGGUGGUAUACAAUUGAAGCUUGCCGUUAUAAUUGAUACUUAAUCUAUCUGUUUGCUUACUCUUCAGCCUGAUUUCUUAAAAGUAAAAUAUUAGGAAACAACUUUUGGCAACGGAUUUCUUGGCUCUCGCAACGAUGAAGAACGCAGCGAAAUGCGAUACGUAUCAUGAAUUGCAGAACUGUGAAUGAGAAAUGUUUGAACGCACCUUGCGCCAGUCUUUGACUGGCAUGUCUGUCUGAGAAUCUUAAGAGUUCCCUCAGCACGGUUGUUGCUGGCUUUUGGCAGUUUGCCCUCUGGGGUACUUGCUUAAAACACUUAUUAACACUUAGCCGCAGAAAUGUUGUUUGACUUUGACAGACUCAAAGCUUGCAAUCUGUGGGCCUAUAUUCUCAGCUUGGUCUCAGAUCAGACAGGAAGACCCGCUGAACUUAAGCAUAUCAAUAAGCGGAGGAAAAGACACUAACUAGGAUUCCUUUAGUAACGGCGAGUGAAACAGGAACAGCUCAAAUUUGAAAUCUACCGUACGGUCGAAUUGUAGUUUCUAGAUGUGUUUUCGGGCCUGGAGCAAGCCAAAGUCCUCAGGGUUUGGGCAUCACAGAGGGUGACAAUCCCGUGAAUGGUUUGCAUCUAGUGCCUAUGUGAUACACUUUCUACGAGUCAGGUUGUUUGGGAAUGCAGCCUAAAAUGGGUGGUAAAUACCAUCUAAAGCUAAAUAAUGGCGAGAGACCGAUAGCGAACAAGUACCGUGAGGGAAAGAUGAAAAGAACUUUGAAAAGAGAGUUAAAUAGUGCCUGAAAUUGUCAAAAGGGAAGCGCUCAACACCAGUGAUGAGGCUAGAAAUCAGCAGCCUGUAUUGCCUGUGCAUUUUCUAGUUUCAAGUCAACAUCAGUUUGGCUCGCGGGAUAAGGAUUAAGGGAAGAGCCUAGCUCAAUCUUGGCUGAUACCGCGAGCUGAACUGAGGCCUGCUAUUAAAUAUAUAGGAUGUUGACGAAAUGGUUUUGAACGUCC